Long non-coding RNA from Anopheles arabiensis, 878 nucleotides. RefSeq lists it as uncharacterized. The record is from RefSeq and is a predicted model, not a curated record. The transcript is spliced from 4 exons. Lineage: Eukaryota; Metazoa; Arthropoda; Insecta; Diptera; Culicidae.
UUCAUCGUAUCCCUUACGUGAGCGAUUCGCAUGGCUUCUCGAUCAAAUAACUUCGCAGAAUCGUAACGUUGCGUUCAAUCCGGUGAAUCCUCCGGCCUGAUUUCCAAUCCCGUACGGGACGUUGUUGGUCCACGUGAAAGUGAAAUGAAACCGGUUCUAAAGUGUGUCUGGGUGCGCUCCUUGUGCCCCCACCCCGUGUUUUGUGAAGUACCGCAAAUGUGCUCCCAAAAAAAGCUGGGAAAGCGCGCUGAAUUCGGAUAAUCCAACGAUCUAUCAAAGCCCAAUGAUUGGAGUGGAACGGACACAUUAAAAACAACUCUUGGCAGUGACUUAGCUGGCUAGCUGGAAACAACCGAAUCGAGAAGAGAAUUGUAAGCAAUCGGGAUAGUUUGAUGGUGAGACUAGUAGAAAGGAUUUAAGAAGAAACAUCGGAGAAGUUGUAGCUAAAAGUUAAGAGAAGGGCUUCAAGUGGGCGGCCAUCUUUGUGAUCGAAAGAGUCAAAUUCUAUUAAAUAUUGCUCGGAAAGUGUCACGUGGGUCGCCAAAUGGAGAAACUAAGCAUACAAAUGUGUGAAAGUCUUAUGACAUAGAUGAGAUGCGCCGUUGGAACGAGCCAUGGAAAACCGUUUCGCUGAAAAAGCGGGUUAAGGAUGCAUUCGCCAGCACCACCACACACCACCACCACGACGACGCAUAGCCAACAACAGCAGCAAGAUCUUAUCCGAAACCGAACUGUCGGGCACUCUCCCGGACCACUUAGUAGCCGAAGCCAAGGCGCGGACGCCUUUGAUUGGAUCAACCUGUGUCUGGGCGGGGUGAGUUUUACCGGCUGAUGAUAGUCUUCUUGAAUGUGGUUCAGUUGCUGGAGUAGGGAAAGGG